Pyrus x bretschneideri (Chinese white pear) is the source of this 767-nucleotide RNA transcript. It is a transcript of the gene named transcription elongation factor SPT4 homolog 2-like, with no coding region annotated. NCBI's taxonomy places the organism in Eukaryota, Viridiplantae, Streptophyta, Magnoliopsida, Rosales, Rosaceae. The record is from RefSeq and is a predicted model, not a curated record. The transcript has 7 exons.
UAGCAGUCAAUUGUACGGAAAUUGAAUCAGAUAAAUAGAAAGCAGAAUUAUCUGAAAGAAAGAGAGAGAUGGGAAGCGUACAACCAGCCCAGAUACCCACGAGCUUCGGCCACGAGCUUAGGGCUUGCCUCCGUUGCCGCCUCGUCAAGACCUACGAUCAGUUCAGAGAAUCAGGAUGCGAGAACUGCCCAUUCUUCAAGAUGGAGGAAGAUUUCGAUCGUGUUGCCGAUUGCACCACCCCCAAUUUCAAUGGGAUUAUUUCAGUUACGGAUCCAACUAGGAGUUGGGCUGCAAAAUGGCUUCGACUUGGAAGAUUUGUACCUGGUGUUUACACUCUUGCUGUUUCAGAGGUUCUUUCAGAGGAUUUGCGGAAUUUAUGUGAAGAUGAGCAGGUGCAAUACGUACCACCCAAACGUGUGUGAAUUUGACCAAAAGAAAAGAAGGUGCAUGCGUGUUCUUUUGUCAGACCAAAACAAAGCCGUGGAAAACUAUGUAGAAGCAAAUACCUUGAAUUUAUGUGAAGAUGAGCAGGUGCAAUACGUACCACCCAAACGUGUAUGAAUUUGACCAAAAGAAAAGAAGGUACAUGCGUGUUCUUUUGUCAGACCAAAACAAAGCUGUGGAAAAAUAUGUAGAAGCAAAUACCUUGGUAUGAAAACUGUUGGUGGUUUAAAGUGAAAGUUUCGUACGAAUUUCUGUUAUAGUAUCGAAGCAGCUUGUAAGAUAUUGUUAGCAUAAGAAGUAAUAAUUUAGUCUCAAAUUUUCAA